This 29-nucleotide non-coding RNA is filed under the name Mus musculus (house mouse). The record is from RNAcentral. Lineage: Eukaryota; Metazoa; Chordata; Mammalia; Rodentia; Muridae.
UGAAAAGGACAGAAAGGAAAGACCUCAGU